Betta splendens (Siamese fighting fish) is the source of this 418-nucleotide long non-coding RNA. RefSeq lists it as uncharacterized. The transcript has 3 exons. NCBI's taxonomy places the organism in Eukaryota, Metazoa, Chordata, Actinopteri, Anabantiformes, Osphronemidae. The record is from RefSeq and is a predicted model, not a curated record.
UCCGUGUUCACAUGUCAAAUAUACAAAUGCUGCCUUCGUCAGGCCCGGUCACUGCACCAUAUGGCGAUGAUAAGAUACGCAGCAGCGGAGAGAAGAAGGCGAGGAAUAAAGGAGGAAAACAUGGUCGUCUGUUUCAAAAGGGGCUGAAAUCUGAUCUCUGCAGGGAGAGGCACGGCUGAUGGCACCGUGUCGUCCGUAUCAUCUCCCUCUGAUCGCCCGUGCUUUCUAAUUACAUAAGGCCAUGUCUUUGUUUAGACAACAGCCCAAUGUGACACUUGUGACAUGAGGACGCUGUGGUUCGGAGGAUUUCCCCGCCGCACGCGUCUUAAUACGGCAGCAUAAAAUACCAUGUGAUUGGCUGUCCCUCGCCGAAAGCCUCAAGGAGAAUUAUAAAUAUACUGCCACUAAUAAAAUAUCA